GACGAACGCUGGCGGCGUGCCUAAUACAUGCAAGUAGAACGCUGAAGGAGGAGCUUGCUUCUCUGGAUGAGUUGCGAACGGGUGAGUAACGCGUAGGUAACCUGCCUGGUAGCGGGGGAUAACUAUUGGAAACGAUAGCUAAUACCGCAUAAGAGUAGAUGUUGCAUGACAUUUGCUUAAAAGGUGCAAUUGCAUCACUACCAGAUGGACCUGGGUUGUAUUAGCUAGUUGGUGGGGUAACGGCUUACCAAGGCGACGAUACAUAGCCGACCUGAGAGGGUGAUCGGCCACACUGGGACUGAGACACGGCCCAGACUCCUACGGGAGGCAGCAGUAGGGAAUCUUCGGCAAUGGACGGAAGUCUGACCGAGCAACGCCGCGUGAGUGAAGAAGGUUUUCGGAUCGUAAAGCUCUGUUGUAAGAGAAGAACGAGUGUGAGAGUGGAAAGUUCACACUGUGACGGUAUCUUACCAGAAAGGGACGGCUAACUACGUG
RNAcentral lists this ribosomal RNA (495 nucleotides) under uncultured bacterium. Its description in RNAcentral is "partial 16S ribosomal RNA". It matches the Rfam family "Bacterial small subunit ribosomal RNA", at positions 28 to 507 of the family's 1533-position model. The record is from RNAcentral.